RNAcentral lists this ribosomal RNA (500 nucleotides) under uncultured marine picoplankton. Its description in RNAcentral is "SSU rRNA". It matches the Rfam family "Eukaryotic small subunit ribosomal RNA", at positions 593 to 1104 of the family's 1831-position model. The record is from RNAcentral.
UAUAGCGUAUAUUAAAGUUGUUGCAGUUAAAAAGCUCGUAGUCGGAUUUCGGGCUCGGGCAGGCUGUCGGCCUCGGUCGGACGGCAGGCUCGGGCCUUUCUGCCUGGGGACUCCGUCACACUUAACUGUGGGGCGGUUGGACGCAGGCCGUUUACUUUGAAAAAAUUAGAGUGUUCAAAGCAGGCCUACGCUUGAAUACAUUAGCAUGGAAUAAUGGAAUAGGACUUUGGUGCUAUUUUGUUGGUUUAUGGGACCGAAGUAAUGAUUAACAGGGACAGUUGGGGCCGUUUAUAUUUCGUUGUCAGAGGUGAAAUUCUUGGAUUUACGAAAGAUAAACUUCUGCGAAAGCAUUCGGCAAGGAUGUUUUCAUUGAUCAAGAACGAAAGUUAGGGGAUCGAAGACGAUCAGAUACCGUCGUAGUCUUAACCAUAAACUAUGCCGACUAGGGAUCAGUGGAUGUCAAUUUGCGACUCCAUUGGCACCUUGUGAGAAAUCAAAGU